GACGAACGCUGGCGGCGUGCUUAACACAUGCAAGUCGAACGGAAAGGCCCUGCUUUUGUGGGGUGCUCGAGCGGCGAACGGGUGAGUAACACGUGAGUAACCUGCCCUUGACUUUGGGAUAACUUCAGGAAACUGGGGCUAAUACCGGAUAGGAGCUCCUGCUGCAUGGUGGGGGUUGGAAAGUUUCGGCGGUUGGGGAUGGACUCGCGGCUUAUCAGCUUGUUGGUGGGGUAGUGGCUUACCAAGGCUUUGACGGGUAGCCGGCCUGAGAGGGUGACCGGCCACAUUGGGACUGAGAUACGGCCCAGACUCCUACGGGAGGCAACAGUGGGGAAUAUUGCACAAUGGGCGGAAGCCUGAUGCAGCAACGCCGCGUGCGGGAUGACGGCCUUCGGGUUGUAAACCGCUUUCGCCUGUGACGAAGCGUGAGUGACGGUAAUGGGUAAAGAAGCACCGGCUAACUACGU
RNAcentral lists this ribosomal RNA (467 nucleotides) under uncultured bacterium. RNAcentral's name for it is "partial 16S ribosomal RNA". It matches the Rfam family "Bacterial small subunit ribosomal RNA", at positions 28 to 506 of the family's 1533-position model. The record is from RNAcentral.